This 287-nucleotide ribosomal RNA is filed under the name uncultured bacterium. Its description in RNAcentral is "partial 16S ribosomal RNA". It matches the Rfam family "Bacterial small subunit ribosomal RNA", at positions 29 to 289 of the family's 1533-position model. The record is from RNAcentral.
ACGAACGCUGGCGGCGUGCUUAAGACAUGCAAGUCGAGCGAGGGGAUUCUUUCAGCUUGCUGUGAGGGUCUCCUAGCGGCGGACGGGUGAGUAACGCGUGGGCAACCUACCCGCGAAUCGGGGACAACAGUGGGAAACCGCUGCUAAUACCGGAUGAGCUUUGCUUGCUGCAUGGCAGGCAAAGGAAAGGCAGCCUCUGCUUAGCAAGCUACUGUUCGCGGAUGGGCCCGCGUCCCAUUAGCUAGUUGGUGGAGGUAACGGCCCACCAAGGCGACGAUGGGUAGCCG